AUUAGAUGAGAGGCUAAUGGUCAGGGCCAGCCAUAUUUGAAGUAAGACUUGCAGAAACUGUAGUGUAUGUUUAUAUGACGAAACUGUGGUAAAAGCCACUGUGCUAACUACAACAAACAUGAAACAUUGCUAUUAAAGACAACCUCUGUCGAACAAGAAAACAAAAGAGCCAGCGAGGCAGAAAUAAUCGGUUAAGUUGGAGAAUGGCAAAUAUUGUGUGCAUCGUUUGGGAAUGCCUCAAUAAAGUAACACAGACUGUUGAAGGCUAGCUGAAGUCUUGACUGUUUUUACUUAGGGAUAUUUAAUUCAAUUGAUAUUUAAUUGUCGUUUUCUUAGUAAUUAAAUUAUGAACUUGAGUGUACGACUGCAUUUUUAAGUUAAGCAGCGUAGGCGUCAGUGACUUGAAUUGUGCACAUUCUCCCUUGAAAAUAUGCAACCUCUGCCAUCUGCCCUUUCACUUCCCUCUGCCUUUCCACUUAGCUGAUCAGAAUUGAGAAUUUUUCAUGUAUAAAUUAAAUACAUUGUGUUGGAUUUUUGCAGGUAUUCCACCUGAUCAGCAACGUCUUAUCUUUGCUGGAAAACAGCUGGAAGAUGGACGUACUCUUUCUGAUUAUAACAUCCAGAAAG
Molecule: non-coding RNA, 627 nt
Organism: Paramuricea clavata
Lineage: Eukaryota; Metazoa; Cnidaria; Anthozoa; Malacalcyonacea; Plexauridae
Source: the annotation of a GenBank genome assembly